Molecule: long non-coding RNA, 6041 nt
Organism: Megalobrama amblycephala (Wuchang bream)
Lineage: Eukaryota; Metazoa; Chordata; Actinopteri; Cypriniformes; Xenocyprididae
Exons: 3
Source: RefSeq, a predicted model, not a curated record
UCAUGUGACACUGAAGAUUGGAGUAAUGAUGCUGAAAAUUCAGCUUCGAAAACAGGGAUAAAUUAACAUUUUAAAAUAUAUUAACCUAGCAAGCAGUUACUGUAAAUUGCAAUGAUAUUUCAAGAUGUUGCUGUUUUUACCGUAUUGUGCCACUGCCUUAGAAUCCGAGUUACCGCUUAGAGAAAGUUAGCAGUCUGCAUAACGUUUUUAACCUACAUUUUGCAUGCCUAUGAUGACUUAAAAUGCUUUCCAGGUUGUUAGCUCACUAGGUUCUGCAACUGAGCUCAAGUAUUUGUGAAUUGCACUAAGCCACAGGGUGGUUUCACAAAACAGAUCACAUAAAAGAUAACAUUGCCCAGCGGUCGAAUUGAAUGAGACCAUAUAGGUAUUCUUUGAAACCAAUAACCCAGAAAACAACAUAAUUGACAAUAAUCCCCUCAAAUACAUCUCCAUUUACAUACCCUGUGUGCGUGCAGCGCACUUCCUGUGGCCUGAAUGGAUUCCACUGUUACCGGAGGAUAAAAGCCCAUCACAACAACAGGCCAUGACAGUGCAGUCGAAUAGCCCUUUAAACAGAAAUGAAAUCACAUCCGUUUGCAUCCGUGUCCAAAGCGGCACCUGUCACGCGUCCACUUUCCAAGGCACCAGCGAUUCUUCUCCUCCAUGCUUUUUAUUUGCGUUUAGUCUUCUGAAACGUCAGCCUCUCUGCGGGUGGCGUGUGUAGAGCCGCCCUUAGUGGGAUCACAGCUCCGUUCAGCACUACGGACAGCUCCAGCAAAGGCAAUGCUAAUGAAGCACGGCCUUCCUUGUUCUCCUCUGUAGUAGCAUCAGACAGGCGCUCACUCUCACCAUCUCCUCUAAACGAUCCACUGCUGCCGCGAGCGUAACCCCGAGAGAGGAUGUUCUGUGCUUCUGUGUCCCAUGUUCUUUGCUCUCUGCCUCCUUAUUUUUUUAUGAACUGCCUCUUUCUCUCUUGCUCGUCUGUUCUCGCCCUGCUCCAAAGAGACAGGAACACAAGAAAUCGCCCAUUCCCGUUGCCUUUUUUCUCAUCCUAAUAGGACAAACUGGAAAGGCAGAGGAUAAGAAAUUCUGCCGAGUAGCGGCAGAGACUGUCAUUCGUGAGGCAACCAAGAUCUCACCCUUUCUAUUUAAUUCCUGCUGUCAGCCGGCCUUCGUCAGGACGACAGGGAGAGCGGAAGGGGUUAAAGGGUCGUGGCUGAGACAUUGCUUCUAUUUCUGUGGAUCUCCUGAAGACAUGCUGUGUCCCGGUGUCAGGUCGACUGAGAACAAAGGUCAAGUGGAAGAGGUUAAAAUUGCCUGCAAGCGGACGUGCUUGUUUGUAUAAAUAAGUGUAUGUGGUGUUUCCUACUUAAUGACUUAAAAUAGCUUUUUUUAUUGUUGUUAGUACAUUAUGUAUUUAUUUUGUCCUGUGUUUUAUUUGUCCGAUGACUGUUUCUGUUUUUUUAUUCUCUCCACUGUCUCGGCUGUUGGAUGUGAAUCUACUUGACAGACGGUACUCAAUAACAAUGUGAAGGUCUGGCUGUUGCAACCAAGACGAACACAGACUGUCCAACUAGAGAAAGAGAAACAGACAUCUGUUGGUUUUUGAACAUGCAUUGAUGCAUCUCAAGCUGCCAUCGCAGAGCCUUUCCUCCAGGCAACAACAAAAACGAGAUCAAGGGAAGGGGGGAAAAAGAUGCAUUUUCUUUAUUGAACAGUUGUGCGGUUGUGUGUAUAAUUUAAAGGGAAACAAAGCAUAUUGUGUAGCAGAUUGCAGUCUGCUCUGGCUUAAUUGGAGAUGGGGAGAGUGAGGCAGAUGUGAGUUAAGACUGUUAAACUCUGAUUACUAGGAUGUAUCUUCACCCCACACUCUCUUCUAGCAUACAGAGGCUGGUCGAAAAUAUUGAUCAAAACCAAAUCAAAAAUGGUAGCAGAGGUUUGAAUGCAGUAUAUAUAUGUGCAGAUUUUUGCUUACUCUGGAUAAGUUGACAUCUAUCUAUCUAUCUAUCUAUAUAUCUAUCUGUCAUUAUUUCUGUCUAAUAUGGCCUAUGAACCUCAAGGAUUUUAAACUUUUUUCAAAACUUUCCAUCAAGGCUUUACCAUUCAAAAAUUAUUAUAUAUACACCUUACAUUCAAAUUUGAAUUGCAAUUAGGAAGAGGAAGAAAUCAGGAAAAGGUACAACCUAGACUCAAACUACACUUGAGUUAUAUAUCAAUCGUAACAGGACUUUCCAUUCCUAUGAUCUAGUGAGAUCUAGAUUGACUGGUUUCACACAACUUCCGUGAGUGUGGACAUAUAAAUGUUUUAUCAGUCCAUCUGGAAACAAAGUUCUGUGUAAAAGAUGCUGUUUUGACACAGUAAGCACUUCUGAGGGUAAAAUAACCCCUGAAUUUGGCCAAGUUUCCAAGGUUAGUGACAUCAAAUCUUUUAAAUAUAUUCAAAUUGUUUCAGUUCAUAUAUGCGUCAUUGAAAUGAAAAGUUAUGCUAUUUUUCAUUGCCAACUGGUUUCAUAUUCUCUGUUCUUUCUUUCCGUACCAGGUGACCAAUUGUGUGUGUGUGUGUUUUAAUUACAGCAGGGUUUAGUGUGGUUGCCUCUUCAUCCAGUUCUCUAACAGUCCAGGAAACCUGUGGAAAUUACUCCUGACAAAACUAAGUAGCUCACCUCUCUCGAUUCACCAGAUUAAGAGAGACUGCCCUCCUAGUGGAGUCUCCCUCCUUUGUUUCUAUCUCUCUCACACACACACACACACACACACACACUUUCUCUUCUCAUCUUAAUCGUGAAGCUCCCAUCAAGUACAUGUCCCUGGAAACAAAACUCAGUUACUAAUAAUACUCAGAGUCCUUCUUGGUUUGGUUUGGAGGAGGUCUUUUGUCGGGUAUGGUAACAAGUCUGCAGGGAGUUUUGCUCUCGUGGGAUCCAAAAGCAGACAGAAGGCUUGGCACUUUUUGCCAUAUCUCUAUCUUCACGCUCUGCCAGACAUCCUGAGCUAAAGUGUGCUACACUGAUCUUGUUCCUCUCACAGCGAGUCUCCUUUUUCUCUAUUUGCGUCUGUUGUCCCAAAUCCUUUCUCACAAAUCAUUUUCCACUCUAGAAUUGAUCAGCGCUUUGACCUUCUCUCUUCCCGGGGUUUUCGUCUCACUUGUCUCUUUCACAUCAAGCCUUGCGGAUCUUUUUCACCAAAAAUGGAAAGAGCUUGCACCUUCUCUUGUUCCAUCUCACUGUUUUUCCUUUUUUCCACAAUCUCCUUGCUUGACUCCAAAAGGGUUUUUCACCUUGAAAUGGCACUUCUGUCCAUUCGGCCUUACUGUAAGGGGCAGCCGAAUCCAUCGGAGGCUUUAGCCGAGCGGAGCAGCUGAGUCACCUGCUCGGACGUGAUCGCGUUGGAUUCAGGAUAAUCCAGCACCUUCACUACUCUCAACUGUUCCUGGUCUAUUUCUAUCUCAAGGACAGGCCCUUUGAGAGAAGAUGGCCUCAAUCACUGAUAGAGGCCGUGGUGUUCUUUAAGAAAAAAGCUUUUUUUGGGUUUCAAGCAAUGAACGAAGUUUAAGGAAGUCUCAGGCAAGCAAGCAAACUCUAAGCUCCCUUUUAACCUGAAUGCCCAUUACUGGUUCAUGCAAAUGCAGAGUGAAAAUCCCCAGCCUUGAUGCUGGCAAAAUCUCUCCAAUUGUUGCUUUGCCUGAAAACAAGGGCAAAUUAGACCUUACAAAGUGUCCUCAAAGGAGAGGCUUCUUCGAAUUUGGUUAAAAGAACCUUGGAGGUGAGAAUGAGUGCAAAUAGAGUGAAUUCUAGAAAGUGUUGCACCAUCAUCUACGAACUGUUAAAACCUCCUCGCAGACCGCAGCAUAUAAAUAGACUUGACUGUGGCCGCUGUGUGAGUCAGUGGCUGUCAGCAAAGCUUAAGUUCGAGGGUGGAUGUUGGGGGAGGAGGGCGGUUGUCCUUUUCUGUGCUUUUCCAGACAGAAAGAUAAUCAUUUUCCCCCCAGGAUAAGAACUGCGAGAAGGGGAUUCUGUCCAGUUGGGGGUGCUGGCAGGGAAUUCAGGGUGUUUUUGGCCCGAAAGCCCUGACUCUGCAAGGUCACCUCACCAUGAGUGAGUCUGUGAUGAUGUGCAUGAAGGACAAUGCCCGGAGCGCAUGUGAUGGAACCAGGCCAGAGUGCCACCACGUGCUGCCAGCGUGACAGACAGGGCACGACACCACCAAACCAACGAGGAUGUAGAGAAGCAGGAAUGCUGAAAGAAAGACACAAGAUGAUCCAGGCCGGACUCAAUCCUGGAUCGGCUUGAUAAUUAAUUGCUCUUAUUUGCAUGAGUGCAUGCGAUACCCACUGCACCAUAUUGCUGACAUUCUGUAAUAGUGCAAGUACAAAGUGGCAGUCUUUGAUCUCCAUGGCAGCAGUGACAGCGACUGGGCGGGCGGAACCACGCGGAGGGUCUUCCGGGAUUCAUUAUCCUGUUUGUGAGCUUUUUAAUGAUGGGGGAGGUCCCUGCCCUCACGAAGAGUCACAACAGAGAGCCGUUUAUGCACACGUCUGAACAGACAAGCUGUGAGCAUUCUCUAAUUAUGGUUUAAGAUCCAUUAAAACUGUUUCUUUCAUUUAGACUUUUCAUGGCAAUUACGUUUGACUAUGAAGGUAAUAUGCAAACAAUCACUCAUGAAGCAACAACAAAAACAUGCUUGAUAAACUCCAGAGACAACAACAAUUGACUGUUCAGCUUUAGCGUACUGUCAUUGUAUUGUUCAGUUAGUGCUGUAAAGAGACAGUUCCACAUUAUUAUAUUGUAUUUUAAUUAAACUGUCCAGAGAUCACAUUCCAGGCCAAAGAAUGAAAGUGGCAGAUCAUCUGCAAUGAUAAAUACUUUACAUCAGUUGUAAAGUGAUUAAUCAAUCAAUGUUGGCAAAUGCCUUGUUUAAUACUGGAGCUUGUUCUUUUAAAUACUACACAAUAGGGAAAUAUAAUUAUCUCUCUUAAGCCAGGGGCUUUUUUUUUUAAUUAUUAUUAUUAUUUUGGCCAGUUAAGACAAAUUUCAGGAAUAAGAUUUCUUUCAUCAUAGGACAAAACUGGCAGUCUUUGAUCACUUAGUACAGGGAUUCCCAAACCCUUCUGACCUAAAUAUUUAUUAAAAUAUAAAAUAAUUCUAUUCCAUAAUAUAACACCACAUUUGCAUAUUCACAGUCCCCUUAUGUUGGUUAAUGGUCACAUGCAAAAUAUUUCAUCAUUUUAGCAAGAAUGACGCAUUUGAUGUAAAAUGUGCUGUCGAUCGCAACCAGGAUACAGGUUGACAUAAGAGCAUUGAUGUUGCACAGUUUUGGCUUGUCCCCAUGAUCUCACAGGAGUCGCAUAUCACAAUCUGUCAAGCAACAAAUGUAAAGGACAGAAAAAAUCACACCAUCUGCAUCUGGCUUCAGCCGAUCAGGAUAUUCCUUCUGAUGAUUUAAGCAAGCCUGAACAUGUCUCAGAACAUGAUGUCAAAUAUAGGUAUGUGUCUCAUUCUCAGCCACACUGUCUCACUCUCCCCUCCCUCAUUUAUUUCAGUUCUCGCUCCCCUCAUGUCCUCUGAGACAGUGGUGUGAUGUAAUGUGAAGUAGAAAUGGUGCUGACUCUUUGACCUUGCUCUAAAUCCUCAGACAGAGAAUAAGAGAGGUUAUAAAAAAUGUUGUAUUACCUCACUCUCUGUCUCUUUCUGCACUUUGUAGCAGGGGUUGAGAAGGGGUGCGGUGUAAAUCUACUCAUCAUAUUAAACCUGGUCUCUGAGUCCUGACUGAUGCCUCAUUUUGAAGAUCUCAUUCCCACCAAUAGAAGGCACAGUUCAUUGUUCUCAUGUGUGAGGGGGAGAUUGGUGACCUGUUUAAUUCUUGGUUGAGCAUUGUUAAACAUUAUUAAUGAAUUGAGUUUUUGUUCCAAAUGUUUAGGUAGUUUUGUAAUAUUAUAACAGUUUACCUCUUUGUUACUGUUAAGUCACAUUUAUUUGUCUUUCUUAAAUUUCUUUAUUACCUUUAAAGGUGCCCUAGAAUUAAAAAUUGAAUUUAUAUUGGCA